RNAcentral lists this unclassified non-coding RNA (254 nucleotides) under uncultured fungus. RNAcentral describes it as "partial contains 5.8S ribosomal RNA, internal transcribed spacer 2, and large subunit ribosomal RNA". The stretch from base 1 to 52 matches the Rfam family "5.8S ribosomal RNA", at positions 103 to 154 of the family's 154-position model. Lineage: Eukaryota; Fungi. The record is from RNAcentral.
AACGCACAUUGCGCCCGCUAGUAUUCUAGCGGGCAUGCCUGUUCGAGCGUCAUUUGCACCCCUCAAGCUCACUGAGCUUGGUGUUGGGGCUCCGCGGGAGCGGGCCCCUAAAAGCAUUGGCGGGCACGCUGGGUACCCGAGCGCAGUAAUUUGUCUCGCUUUGGGCGGCCCUGGGCGCCUGGCCGUAAAGCCUGCCGCAAGGCAAAGACCACUAAGUUGACCUCGGAUCAGGUAGGAAUACCCGCUGAACUUAA